GACGAACGCUGGCGGCGUGCUUAACACAUGCAAGUCGAACGGAAAGGCCCUGCUUUUGUGGGGUGCUCGAGUGGCGAACGGGUGAGUAACACGUGAGUAACCUGCCCCUGACUUUGGGAUAACUUCUGGAAACUGGGGCUAAUACCGGAUAGGAGCUCCUGCUGCAUGGUGGGGGUUGGAAAAUUUCGGCGGUUGGGGAUGGACUCGCGGCUUAUCAGCUUGUUGGUGGGGUAGUGGCUUACCAAGGCUUCGACGGGUAGCCGGCCUGAGAGGGUGACCGGCCACAUUGGGACUGAGAUACGGCCCAGACUCCUACGGGAGGCAGCAGUGGGGAAUAUUGCACAAUGGGCGGAAGCCUGAUGCAGCAACGCCGCGUGCGGGAUGACGGCCUUCGGGUUGUAAACCGCUUUCGCCUGUGACGAAGCGUGAGUGACGGUAAUGGGUAAAGAAGCACCGGCUAACUACGUG
This 468-nucleotide ribosomal RNA is filed under the name uncultured bacterium. RNAcentral's name for it is "partial 16S ribosomal RNA". It matches the Rfam family "Bacterial small subunit ribosomal RNA", at positions 28 to 507 of the family's 1533-position model. The record is from RNAcentral.